Molecule: ribosomal RNA, 253 nt
Filed under: uncultured bacterium
Lineage: Bacteria
Description: partial 16S ribosomal RNA
Rfam family: Bacterial small subunit ribosomal RNA
Source: RNAcentral
UACGGAGGAUCCAAGCGUUAUCCGGAUUUAUUGGGUUUAAAGGGUGCGUAGGCGGCCAGUUAAGUCAGGGGUGAAAGACGGUGGCUCAACUAUCGCAGUGCCUUUGAUACUGAUUGGCUUGAAUGUACUUGAGGUAGGCGGAAUGUGACAAGUAGCGGUGAAAUGCAUAGAUAUGUCACAGAACACCGAUUGCGAAGGCAGCUUACUGUGGUGUCAUUGACACUGAGGCACGAAAGCGGGGGGAUAAAACAGG